RNAcentral lists this ribosomal RNA (427 nucleotides) under uncultured bacterium. RNAcentral describes it as "bacterial SSU rRNA". It matches the Rfam family "Bacterial small subunit ribosomal RNA", at positions 355 to 774 of the family's 1533-position model. The record is from RNAcentral.
UGGGGAAUUUUGGACAAUGGGCGCAAGCCUGAUCCAGCAAUGCCGCGUGCAGGAUGAAGGCCUUCGGGUUGUAAACUGCUUUUGUACGGAGCGAAAAGGUCUGCCCUAAUACGGUGGGCUCAUGACGGUACCGUAAGAAUAAGCACCGGCUAACUACGUGCCAGCAGCCGCGGUAAUACGUAGGGUGCGAGCGUUAAUCGGAAUUACUGGGCGUAAAGCGUGCGCAGGCGGUUAUGCAAGACAGAGGUGAAAUCCCCGGGCUCAACCUGGGAACUGCCUUUGUGACUGCAUAGCUAGAGUACGGCAGAGGGGGGUGGAAUUCCACGUGUAGCAGUGAAAUGCGUAGAGAUGUGGAGGAACACCGAUGGCGAAGGCAGCCCCCUGGGCCGAUACUGACGCUCAUGCACGAAAGCGUGGGUAGCAAACA